GUAGUCGUGGCCAAGUGGUUAAGGCGAUGGACUAGAAAUCCAUUGCGCAGGUUCGGGUCCUGCCGACUACG
This is a non-coding RNA of Pangasianodon hypophthalmus (striped catfish), 71 nucleotides long. The record is from the annotation of a RefSeq genome assembly. NCBI's taxonomy places the organism in Eukaryota, Metazoa, Chordata, Actinopteri, Siluriformes, Pangasiidae.